UACAGAGGGGGCAAGCGUUAUUCGGAAUUAUUGGGCGUAAAGGGCGCGUAGGCGGCCUGGCAAGUGACGGGUGAAAGCCCUCGGCUCAACCGAGGAACUGCCUGUCAUACUGCCGGGCUUGAGUCCGGGAGAGGUGAGUGGAAUUCCCGGUGUAGCGGUGAAAUGCGUAGAGAUCGGGAGGAACACCAGAGGCGAAGGCGGCGACCUGGACAGGCACUGACACUCAACUACGAAAGCGUGGGGAGCAAACAGG
RNAcentral lists this ribosomal RNA (253 nucleotides) under uncultured bacterium. RNAcentral describes it as "partial 16S ribosomal RNA". It matches the Rfam family "Bacterial small subunit ribosomal RNA", at positions 524 to 776 of the family's 1533-position model. The record is from RNAcentral.